This 253-nucleotide ribosomal RNA is filed under the name uncultured Lactobacillus sp. RNAcentral describes it as "partial 16S ribosomal RNA". It matches the Rfam family "Bacterial small subunit ribosomal RNA", at positions 524 to 776 of the family's 1533-position model. The record is from RNAcentral. Lineage: Bacteria; Bacillati; Bacillota; Bacilli; Lactobacillales; Lactobacillaceae.
UACGUAGGUGGCAAGCGUUAUCCGGAUUUAUUGGGCGUAAAGGGAACGCAGGCGGUCUUUUAAGUCUGAUGUGAAAGCCUUCGGCUUAACCGGAGUAGCGCAUUGGAAACUGGGAGACUUGAGUGCAGAAGAGGAGAGUGGAACUCCAUGUGUAGCGGUGAAAUGCAUAGAUAUCACGCAGAACGCCGAUUGCGAAGGCAGCUUACCGGCGCUCAACUGACGCUGAGGCACGAAAGUGCGGGUAUCGAACAGG